UCUCCGUUGGUGAACCAGCGGAGGGAUCAUUACAGGACUCGCAAGACUCCUAAAACCCUGUAACCUUAACUAUAUGCUCGCCGCUGCGGCGGGUGUCCCCGAGCCCGUUCUCCCUCCCCGCGGCGCUACACCCGCCGGCAGCCUAAUAUACUCUGUCGCUUUUCGUUGUCAUCUUGAGUACAAUCAAACAAGUUAAAACUUUCAACAACGGAUCUCUUGGCUCUG
This 225-nucleotide unclassified non-coding RNA is filed under the name plant metagenome. RNAcentral's name for it is "partial contains small subunit ribosomal RNA, internal transcribed spacer 1, and 5.8S ribosomal RNA". The record is from RNAcentral.